RNAcentral lists this ribosomal RNA (624 nucleotides) under uncultured bacterium. RNAcentral describes it as "bacterial SSU rRNA". It matches the Rfam family "Bacterial small subunit ribosomal RNA", at positions 218 to 839 of the family's 1533-position model. The record is from RNAcentral.
GAUGAGGAUAGGCUCGCGUGACAUUAGCUAGACGGCGGGGUAACGGCCCACCGUGGCGACGAUGUCUAGGGGUUCUGAGAGGAAGGUCCCCCACACUGGAACUGAGACACGGUCCAGACUCCUACGGGAGGCAGCAGUGAGGAAUAUUGGUCAAUGGCCGGAAGGCUGAACCAGCCAUGCCGCGUGAAGGUCAGUGCCCUAUGGGCGUUAAACUUCUUUUGUGCGGGAGCAAUAAGGGCCACGCGUGGCCUGACGAGAGUACCGUACGAAUAAGCAUCGGCUAACUCCGUGCCAGCAGCCGCGGUAAUACGGGGGAUGCAAGCGUUAUCCGGAUUUAUUGGGUUUAAAGGGUGCGUAGGCUGUGAGGUAAGUCAGCGGUGAAAUGCCCCCGCUCAACGGGGUGAAGUGCCAUUGAUACUGCCUUGCUGGAAUGCGGAUGCCGUGGGAGGAAUGUGUGGUGUAGCGGUGAAAUGCAUAGAUAUCACACAGAACACCGAUUGCGAAGGCAUCUCACGAAUCCGCGAUUGACGCUGAUGCACGAAAGCGUGGGUAUCAAACAGGAUUAGAUACCCUGGUAGUCCACGCUGUAAACGAUGAUGACUAACCGUCGGCGAUACACAGUCG